AUACGGAGGGUGCAAGCGUUACUCGGAAUCACUGGGCGUAAAGCGCGCGCAGGCGGCUUGAUAAGUUGGAUGUGAAAGUCUACGGCUCAACCGUAGAACUGCAUCCAAAACUGUCAGGCUAGAGUGUGGGAGAGGAAGAUGGAAUUAGUUGUGUAGGGGUAAAAUCCGUAGAGACAACUAGGAAUACCAAAAGCGAAGGCAAUCUUCUGGAACACUACUGACGCUGAGGCGCGAAGGCGUGGGGAGCAAACAGGAUUAGAAACCCCGGUAGUCC
This 274-nucleotide ribosomal RNA is filed under the name uncultured bacterium. RNAcentral describes it as "partial 16S ribosomal RNA". It matches the Rfam family "Bacterial small subunit ribosomal RNA", at positions 523 to 796 of the family's 1533-position model. The record is from RNAcentral.